RNAcentral lists this ribosomal RNA (253 nucleotides) under uncultured bacterium. Its description in RNAcentral is "partial 16S ribosomal RNA". It matches the Rfam family "Bacterial small subunit ribosomal RNA", at positions 524 to 776 of the family's 1533-position model. The record is from RNAcentral.
UACGUAGGUGGCAAGCGUUGUCCGGAUUUACUGGGCGUAAAGAGCGCGCAGGCGGUCCUUUAAGUCUGAUGUGAAAGCCCACGGCUCAACCGUGGAGGGUCAUUGGAAACUGGGGGACUUGAGUACAGAAGAGAAGAGUGGAAUUCCACGUGUAGCGGUGAAAUGCGUAGAGAUGUGGAGGAACACCAGUGGCGAAGGCGACUCUUUGGUCUGUAACUGACGCUGAGGCGCGAAAGCGUGGGGAGCAAACAGG